CGCUGAUGCCCUUCCUGGGCGUUUCCUCCCUGUAAACUUGGCCGCGCUGUUUAGCGCGGCUUUUUUUUGGCUCAGG
Molecule: small RNA, 76 nt
Filed under: Asticcacaulis benevestitus DSM 16100 = ATCC BAA-896
Lineage: Bacteria; Pseudomonadati; Pseudomonadota; Alphaproteobacteria; Caulobacterales; Caulobacteraceae
Description: Makes More Granules Regulator RNA (mmgR)
Rfam family: Makes More Granules Regulator RNA (mmgR)
About the family: SuhB later renamed mmgR (makes more granules regulator) was a putative non-coding RNA found multiple times in the Agrobacterium tumefaciens genome and related alpha-proteobacteria.
Source: Rfam by way of RNAcentral